This 376-nucleotide ribosomal RNA is filed under the name uncultured bacterium. Its description in RNAcentral is "bacterial SSU rRNA". It matches the Rfam family "Bacterial small subunit ribosomal RNA", at positions 29 to 419 of the family's 1533-position model. The record is from RNAcentral.
AAUGAACGUUGGCGGCGUGGAUUAGGCAUGCGAGUCGUGCGAGAACCGUAGCAAUACGGGGACAGCGGCGAAAGGGAGAGGAACACGUGGAUACCUACCCUCCAGGUUCAGGAUAGCUAUGGGAAACUAUAGGUAAUACUGAAUAAUAUCUCCGGAUCAAAGGUGUGAUUCCGCCGGAGGAGGGGUCCGCGUCCUAUUAGCUAGUUGGUGAGGUAAUGGCUCACCAAGGCGAAGAUGGGUACGGGAUGUGAGAGCAUGAUCCCGCUCAUUGGGACUGAGACACUGCCCAGACACCUACGGGUGGCUGCAGUCGAGAAUCUUCGGGCAAUGGGGGAAACCCUGACCGAGCGACGCCGCGUGUGAGAUGAAGGCCUUC